RNAcentral lists this non-coding RNA (882 nucleotides) under Babylonia zeylanica. RNAcentral's name for it is "12S ribosomal RNA". It matches the Rfam family "Microsporidia small subunit ribosomal RNA". The record is from RNAcentral. Lineage: Eukaryota; Metazoa; Mollusca; Gastropoda; Neogastropoda; Buccinidae.
GACAAGCUUGGCUCUGACUUAAUAAUAUAGCGGGAACUAAAAAAUACACAUGGUUUUUAUGGAGAGAGACGAGGUAAAGAACAGUAUAUUUAUAACAAAAAGUUAUAAAGUAAUGUUUUUUUAGGUAUUAUAGUUUUCACGAUGCCUUGAAAAGUCCCGUUAACACCAGUGCUGAAGGUUAAAAAAAAGACGAGAGUCUGUAUUAAUUUAGUUCGUAAGAUUUGGUUAAUUUGGUGCCAGCAUCCGCGGUUAUACCAAGAAAUCAAGUUAUAUCGUUUGGUAAAAAGACGGUUAGACUUUAAUUAAUUAUGCCUAUUGAUUAUUUGUAUAGAGGUAGAAUUUGAAUACAAAUAUACAAACUAUAUAUGGCUUAUUUAGUUGAAUCCGUGAAAGCCUUGAGGGAAACUGGGAUUAGAUACCCCAUUAUUCUUGGCUAUAAAAUCAGGAAAACUUACCAGAGUACUAUGAAUCUAACAAAAUUUAAAACUCAAAGGGCUUGGCGGUGUUUUAGACCCCUCAGGGGAACCUGUCUCGUAAUCGACAAUCCACGAUAGACCUAACCCCAUUUUGCGUUCAGUUUGUAUACCGUUGUCGUCAGGUAACUCUCAAGGAAUAAGAAGUUAGCGAUUGAAAUAAGCCUAUAGAUUAAGACGUCAAAUCAAGGUGCAGCCCAUAAUGGGGGGAGGAUGGGUUACAAUUAUGAAUUCAUAAUGACGGAAAACACAUCGAACAAUGUAUUUGAAGGAGGACUUGAAAGUAAAAUGAAAUAUAUAAAUAAUUUGAAUAAGGCUCUGAAGCGUGCACACAUCGCCCGUCACUCUCGUUGAAAAAUGAGAUAAGUCGUAACAUAGCAGGGGUAAUGGAAAUUGUUCCUAGAUAAAA